AUACGUAGGGUGCAAGCGUUAAUCGGAAUUACUGGGCGUAAAGCGUGCGCAGGCGGCUUUGUAAGACAGUGGUGAAAUCCCCGGGCUCAACCUGGGAACUGCCAGUGAGCCUGCAAGGCCGGGGUGCGGCAGAGGGGGAUGGCAUUUCGCGUGUAACCGUGAGAUGCGUAGAUAUGCGGAGGAACACCGAUGGCGAAGGCAAUCCCCUGGGCCUGCACUGACGCUCAUGCACGAAAGCGUGGGGAGCAAACAGGAUUAGAUACCCUGGUAGUCCACGCCCUAAACGAUGUCAACUGGUUGUUGGGGAUUUAUUUUCUCAGUAACGAAGCUAACGCGUGAAGUUGACCGCCUGGGGAGUACGGCCGCAAGGUUAAAACUCAAAGGAAUUGACGGGG
RNAcentral lists this ribosomal RNA (395 nucleotides) under uncultured bacterium. Its description in RNAcentral is "partial 16S ribosomal RNA". It matches the Rfam family "Bacterial small subunit ribosomal RNA", at positions 523 to 918 of the family's 1533-position model. The record is from RNAcentral.